This 465-nucleotide ribosomal RNA is filed under the name Vreelandella stevensii. RNAcentral describes it as "partial 16S ribosomal RNA". It matches the Rfam family "Bacterial small subunit ribosomal RNA", at positions 338 to 795 of the family's 1533-position model. Lineage: Bacteria; Pseudomonadati; Pseudomonadota; Gammaproteobacteria; Oceanospirillales; Halomonadaceae. The record is from RNAcentral.
CCUACGGGUGGCUGCAGUGGGGAAUAUUGGACAAUGGGGGCAACCCUGAUCCAGCCAUGCCGCGUGUGUGAAGAAGGCCCUCGGGUUGUAAAGCACUUUCAGUGAGGAAGAACGCCUGGUGGUUCAUACCCAUCAGGAAAGACAUCACUCACAGAAGAAGCACCGGCUAACUCCGUGCCAGCAGCCGCGGUAAUACGGAGGGUGCGAGCGUUAAUCGGAAUUACUGGGCGUAAAGCGCGCGUAGGUGGCUUGAUAAGCCGGUUGUGAAAGCCCCGGGCUCAACCUGGGAACGGCAUCCGGAACUGUCAAGCUAGAGUGCAGGAGAGGAAGGUAGAAUUCCCGGUGUAGCGGUGAAAUGCGUAGAGAUCGGGAGGAAUACCAGUGGCGAAGGCGGCCUACUGGACUGACACUGACACUGAGGUGCGAAAGCGUGGGUAGCAAACAGGAUUAGAUACCCUAGUAGUC